CCUACGGGUGGCAGCAGUGAGGAAUAUUGGUCAAUGGGCGCGAGCCUGAACCAGCCAAGUAGCGUGAAGGAUGACUGCCCUACGGGUUGUAAACUUCUUUUAUAAAGGAAUAAAGUGAGGCACGUGUGCCUUUUUGUAUGUACUUUAUGAAUAAAGAUCGGCUAACUCCGUUCCCGCAGCCGCGGUAAUACGGAGGAUCCGAGCGGUUCCCGGAUUUAUUGGGUUUAAAGGGAGCGUAGGUGGAUUGUUAAGUCAGUUGUGAAAGUGUGCGGCUCAACAGUAAAAUUGCAGUUGACACUGGCAGUCUUGAGUACAGUAGAGGUGGGCGGAAUUCGUGGUGUAGCGGUGAAAUGCUUAGAUAUCACGAAGAACUCCGAUUGCGAAGGCAGCUCACUGGACUGCAACUGACACUGAGGCUCGAAAGUGUGGGUAUCAAACAGGAUUAGAUACCCUAGUAGUC
RNAcentral lists this ribosomal RNA (460 nucleotides) under uncultured bacterium. RNAcentral describes it as "partial 16S ribosomal RNA". It matches the Rfam family "Bacterial small subunit ribosomal RNA", at positions 338 to 795 of the family's 1533-position model. The record is from RNAcentral.